Molecule: ribosomal RNA, 800 nt
Filed under: Enterococcus faecium
Lineage: Bacteria; Bacillati; Bacillota; Bacilli; Lactobacillales; Enterococcaceae
Description: bacterial SSU rRNA
Rfam family: Bacterial small subunit ribosomal RNA
Source: RNAcentral
CAGUCGACGCUUCUUUUUCCACCGGAGCUUGCUCCACCGGAAAAAGAGGAGUGGCGAACGGGUGAGUAACACGUGGGUGACCUGCCCAUCAGAAGGGGAUAACACUUGGAAACAGGUGCUAAUACCGUAUAACAAUCAAAACCGCAUGGUUUUGAUUUGAAAGGCGCUUUCGGGUGUCGCUGAUGGAUGGACCCGCGGUGCAUUAGCUAGUUGGUGAGGUAACGGCUCACCAAGGCCACGAUGCAUAGCCGACCUGAGAGGGUGAUCGGCCACAUUGGGACUGAGACACGGCCCAAACUCCUACGGGAGGCAGCAGUAGGGAAUCUUCGGCAAUGGACGAAAGUCUGACCGAGCAACGCCGCGUGAGUGAAGAAGGUUUUCGGAUCGUAAAACUCUGUUGUUAGAGAAGAACAAGGAUGAGAGUAACUGUUCAUCCCUUGACGGUAUCUAACCAGAAAGCCACGGCUAACUACGUGCCAGCAGCCGCGGUAAUACGUAGGUGGCAAGCGUUGUCCGGAUUUAUUGGGCGUAAAGCGAGCGCAGGCGGUUUCUUAAGUCUGAUGUGAAAGCCCCCGGCUCAACCGGGGAGGGUCAUUGGAAACUGGGAGACUUGAGUGCAGAAGAGGAGAGUGGAAUUCCAUGUGUAGCGGUGAAAUGCGUAGAUAUAUGGAGGAACACCAGUGGCGAAGGCGGCUCUCUGGUCUGUAACUGACGCUGAGGCUCGAAAGCGUGGGGAGCAAACAGGAUUAGAUACCCUGGUAGUCCACGCCGUAAACGAUGAGUGCUAAGUGUUGGAGGGU